GAAAUAUGAAGUACAAGAAAAAGCUGCUAACUUUCUCUUUUAAUGGUUAAAUUCCAUUUAUAUUUCU
Molecule: transfer RNA, 67 nt
Filed under: Liriomyza bryoniae (tomato leaf miner)
Lineage: Eukaryota; Metazoa; Arthropoda; Insecta; Diptera; Agromyzidae
Description: tRNA-Ser
Source: RNAcentral